CAUGAAGUCUUCUGUCUGUACAGUGCUGUUCCUCGUCGCUGUCACCUGCUUCCAGAUGUGUCAUGGGGGUGAUUCGAUGGGUGACGCGGAAUGCUCUGGGGCCACUGACCCCAACAAUGAUACUCUUUUUAGCAACCCUGACCCUGCUGGGUGCGGCCGCUACUUUGUGUGCGAUAAUGCUUGGACUCUAGUGGACAGGGGCAACUGCUGCGGCGUCACGUGGGAUCAGCACAAUGAGAUGUGCACAGUUAUCGCCUGCGCAUAGGAAUGAUUGCCCUUGAUGUGCUCCAGGAUCUGCUUACCCCUUUACAACACUUUGAAAGUAUUGAAAUACGGAUUAGCUUUUCCUUCGCGGGUUCAACAUUUGCUUAUUAUGGACUAUAUAUUUUUACUUGUGUUCGAUCUAUAUAUCGUGCUGCCCUGCGCAGAGCGACACCUAUCGGAGGAUCGAAGAAUGAGAGGUAGUAUUAUAGUAACAAAGGAUAUACAAU
Haliotis rufescens (red abalone) is the source of this 491-nucleotide long non-coding RNA. RefSeq lists it as uncharacterized. The record is from RefSeq and is a predicted model, not a curated record. The transcript is spliced from 3 exons. Lineage: Eukaryota; Metazoa; Mollusca; Gastropoda; Lepetellida; Haliotidae.